Molecule: ribosomal RNA, 470 nt
Filed under: uncultured bacterium
Lineage: Bacteria
Description: bacterial SSU rRNA
Rfam family: Bacterial small subunit ribosomal RNA
Source: RNAcentral
GAUGAACGCUAGCGGCAGGCUUAAUACAUGCAAGUCGAACGGUAACAGGUCUUCGGACGCUGACGAGUGGCGCACGGGUGAGGAACACGUACACAAUCUACCUUAUACUGGAGAAUAGCCCCGGGAAACUGGGAUUAAUACUCCAUAGUCUUUAAUGAUCACAUGAGAAAUAAAGUAAAGCUUCGGCGGUAUAAGAUGAGUGUGCGUCCCAUUAGAUUGUUGGUGAGGUAACGGCUCACCAAGUCGACGAUGGGUAGCUGGCGUGAGAGCGCGACCAGCCACACUGGCACUGAGACGCGGGCCAGACUCCUACGGGAGGCAGCAGUAGGGAAUAUUGGUCAACGGACGAAAGUCUGAACCAGCCAUGCCGCGUGGAGGAUGACUGCCCUCUGGGUUGUAAACUCCUUUUAUAUGGGAAGAAACCUCUGGAUUCACUCCAGAGCUGACGGUAUCAUAUGAAUAAGCACCGG